GCGUGCUUGCACAAGACUGAAUCUGGAUCACCAUCUAGUGGCAGACGGGUGAGUAACACGUGGGUGACCUACCUUUUCGUUGGGGAUAACAGUUGGAAACGAUUGCUAAUACCGAAUAAAAUAUAAGAGCCAAUUUUAUAUUGAAAGGAGCCUUUAAAGCUUCGCGAUUAGAUGGGCCUGCGGCGUAUUAACUUGUUGGUGAGGUAACGGCUCACCAAGGUAACGAUGCGUAGCCGAACUGAGAGGUUGAUCGGCCACACUGGGACUGAGACACGGCCCAGACUCCUACGGGAGACAGCAGUUAGGAAUAUUCGUCAAUGGGGGAAACCCUGAACGAGCAAUGCCGCGUGAGUGAUGACGGUCCUUUGGAUUGUAAAACUCUGUUGUAUGGAAAAAAUGACUAGGCUAGGAAAUGAACCUAGUGUGAUGGUACCAUACCAGAAAGCCCCGGCUAACUACGUGCCAGCAGCCGCGGUAAUACGUAGGGGGCGAGCGUUAUCCGGAUUUAUUGGGCGUAAAGCGUGUGUAGGCGGUUUGUUAAGUUUAAGAUUAAAGCCUGGGGCUCAACUCCAGUUCGUCUUAAAAACUGGCAGACUAGAGUGCGGUAGAGGCAAACGGAAUUUCUAGUGUAGCGGUGAA
Molecule: ribosomal RNA, 639 nt
Filed under: uncultured bacterium
Lineage: Bacteria
Description: bacterial SSU rRNA
Rfam family: Bacterial small subunit ribosomal RNA
Source: RNAcentral